AAACAAACAAACAGUAUAUAAAAUCCAAACAAACAGUAGAUAAAAUCCAAACAAACAGUAGAUAAAAUCCAAACAAACAGUAGAUAAAAUCCAAACAAACAAACAGUAGAUAAAAUCCAAACAAACAGUAGAUAAAAUCCAAACAAACAGUAGAUAAAAUCCAAACAAACAGUAGAUAAAAUCCAAACAAACAAACAAACAAACAGUAUAUAAAAUCCAAACAAACAAACAAACAGUAUAUAAAAUCCAAACAAACAAACAGUAUAUAAAAUCCAAACAAACAAACAGUAUAUAAAAUCCAAACAAACAGUAGAUAAAAUCCAAACAAACAGUAGAUAAAAUCCAAACAAACAGUAGAUAAAAUCCAAACAAACAAACAAACAGUAUAUAAAAUCCAAACAAACAAACAAACAAACAAUAAAAUCCAAACAAACAAACAAACAGUAGAUAAAAUCCAAACAAACAAACAAACAGUAUAUAAAAUCCAAACAAACAAACAAACAGUAUAUAAAAUCCAAACAAACAAACAAACAAACAGUAUAUAAAAUACAACCAAACAAACAAACAGUAUAUAAAAUACAAACAAACAAACAAACAGUAUAUAAAAUCCAAACAAACAAACAGUAUAUAAAAUCCAAACAAACAAACA
Molecule: long non-coding RNA, 649 nt
Organism: Astatotilapia calliptera (eastern happy)
Lineage: Eukaryota; Metazoa; Chordata; Actinopteri; Cichliformes; Cichlidae
Source: Ensembl